AUCAUGCAGUCACAAACCAACACACUGCUCAUCCUCAAACUCAAAAGCUCCGUACACAGUCUCUCUGUUUCCUCGUUCCUUCCUCUGCACUCUCCUUUUACACGCUUUCUUCCAUCUUUUCUUUUCUAGGGUUUCAUAGGAAGUCUUUUCACUGACUUUCAAAGUCUCCGAUUCUCCUUGUAAUACUACCGGAUUCUCGCGUUUAAUACCGCAGUUUUCUGCAGCUCUCCUGUAUUCGAUCCAACUUAGAAAAAUGGACUCCGAUUCGUGGCAUGCUCGUCUCUCCACUUCCUCGAAGCGCUAUCAGUCUCGAUCGGAUCUGUUCUUUGGAGGAGGUCAUGAUGAAGUUGACGUGGAAGAGGACUCGAGGGCUGAGUUUCUGUGCCCGUUUUGCGCUGAGGAUUACGAUGUCGUCGGGCUUUGUUGCCACAUCGAUGAGGAGCAUCCUCGGGAAGCCAGGAAUGGGGUAUGUCCAAUUUGUGCAAAGAGGGUUGGAAUGGAUAUUGUUGGCCAUGCUACGACGCAACAUGGGAGUUUUCUAAAGGUGCAGCGCAAGAGGAGAUUCAGAAAAGGUGGUUCUAAUUCGGCAUUUUCACAAUUGAGGAAAGAGUUAAGAGAAGGAAAUAUACAAAUCCCCUUUGGAGGAGGAUCCUCUUGCAUUGUUUCCUCAAAUACAGAGCCAGAUCCUUUGUUGUUAUCAUUUAUGUGUAAUGCGCGUAUAGUUGAUGAAUCUGUGGAUGUUCAGUCUCGUUCUUUGGUGGAAACAAGCUCUGUACACGAAAGCUCAAAAGAGGAUUUCUUGGAAAGUCUUUAGUCAACUUUCCACCCUUUGCAAGACCGACCAAGGGAAUCAAUGCAGGAAUUUAUUUUAUCUUCUUCACCACAUGAUCUGAUAAAUCUUUAGAUUGAACUGCCAUAUACAUGGACACUCUCCUCCCCCAUUGCUCCUUGUAUGGUGUGUUGGUGCACGUCCGUGCUUAUGACAGGAGAGACUGAGAGUGAGAAUGAGAGUGAGAACUUCACAACAGGCUAUGUUGUCUGAUGAGGACCAAGAGGAGAAGACUCGGAAAUGUGAGUUUGUCCAAGGACUGUUGCUGUCCACCAUUCUUGAUGAUAAUAUGUGAUGAGCUAAGAACAGUAUGCGCGGAAGACAUGCCAAAGCUAUAUUAGGACUGGAAAUCAAAAAUUAAGAUGGAAGAAGGUGAUUCCAUUAUGUUACUACUAGUGGUUAUAGGUCGGGGAAAUGUCUUUUGUUGUAAUUAGAAUUAUGUGUAUAAUGAAAAGAUGGAAGAACUUAUUCCUUA
RNA transcript from Carya illinoinensis, 1304 nucleotides. It is a transcript of the gene named protein DEHYDRATION-INDUCED 19 homolog 4-like, with no coding region annotated. NCBI's taxonomy places the organism in Eukaryota, Viridiplantae, Streptophyta, Magnoliopsida, Fagales, Juglandaceae. The record is from RefSeq and is a predicted model, not a curated record. The transcript is spliced from 6 exons.